ACAAAGGACAAAAGAGUAUAGUACAGUCGUGCAUCCACAAAGGACAAAAGAGUAUAGUACACUUGUGUACCCUCAAAAGCAGAGUACUCGACAGCAUUGUGACUACUCGAAACCCAGCACUACUCUAAGCCAAGCCCGACCUACAUCAUUAUCUCGGGGGCUUGGAAUACUCCGACCCCAAGACUUCGGGUUGGACGAGGCGGAGCUCUUCCCUCAAAGGGUCGGGCUCAGCCGACCCUAGGACUUUGGGUCGGGCGAAGCGGAGUAAACCACUCCUCCC
This 280-nucleotide long non-coding RNA is filed under the name Setaria viridis. RNAcentral's name for it is "long non-coding RNA (SVIR_LNC007679)". Lineage: Eukaryota; Viridiplantae; Streptophyta; Magnoliopsida; Poales; Poaceae. The record is from RNAcentral.